GAUGAACGCUGGCCGCGUGCUUAACACAUGCAAGUCGAACGGGAAAUAUUUCAUUGAGACUUCGGUGGAUUUGAUUUAUUUCUAGUGGCGGACGGGUGAGUAACGCGUGGGUAACCUGCCUUAUACAGGGGGAUAACAGUCAGAAAUGGCUGCUAAUACCGCAUAAGCGCACAGAGCUGCAUGGCUCAGUGUGAAAAACUCCGGUGGUAUAAGAUGGACCCGCGUUGGAUUAGCUAGUUGGUGGGGUAACGGCCCACCAAGGCGACGAUCCAUAGCCGGCCUGAGAGGGUGAACGGCCACAUUGGGACUGAGACACGGCCCAGACUCCUACGGGAGGCAGCAGUGGGGAAUAUUGCACAAUGGGGGAAACCCUGAUGCAGCGACGCCGCGUGAAGGAAGAAGUAUCUCGGUAUGUAAACUUCUAUCAGCAGGGAAGAUAGUGACGGUACCUGACUAAGAAGCCCCGGCUAACUACGUG
This 478-nucleotide ribosomal RNA is filed under the name uncultured bacterium. RNAcentral's name for it is "partial 16S ribosomal RNA". It matches the Rfam family "Bacterial small subunit ribosomal RNA", at positions 28 to 507 of the family's 1533-position model. The record is from RNAcentral.